This 254-nucleotide ribosomal RNA is filed under the name uncultured bacterium. RNAcentral describes it as "partial 16S ribosomal RNA". It matches the Rfam family "Bacterial small subunit ribosomal RNA", at positions 524 to 776 of the family's 1533-position model. The record is from RNAcentral.
UACGGAGGGUGCGAGCGUUAUCCGGAAUUACUGGGUUUAAAGGGUGCGUAGGCGGCUAUGUAAGUCAGAUAGUGAAAGUUUGCGGCUCAACCGUAAAAUUGCUUUUGAUACUGCAUGGCUAGAAUCAGGAUGAGGUCAGCGGAAUGUGGCAUGUAGCGGUGAAAUGCAUAGAUAUGCCAUAGAACACCAAUUGCGAAGGCAGCUGGCUACACAAAUAUUGACACUGAGGCUCGAAAGCGUGGGGAUCAAACAGG